AUGUGGUUUAACUCGAAGCAACGCGAAGAACUUACCUGGUCUUGACAUCCCGGAGACCCUUAGGAAACUAGGGGUGCUUCCAUCUGGAAGAAUCUGGAGACAGGUGCUGCAUGGCUGUCGUCAGCUCGUGUCGUGAGAUGUUGGGUUAAGUCCCGCAACGAGCGCAACCCUUGCCUUUAGUUGCCAGCAGUUCGGCUGGGCACUCUAAAGGGACUGCCGGUGUUAAACCGGAGGAAGGUGGGGAUGACGUCAAGUCCUCAUGGCCUUUAUGACCAGGGCUACACACGUACUACAAUGGCCGAUACAAAGGGCAGCGACACUGCGAGGUGAAGCCAAUCCCGUAAAAUCGGUCUCAGUCCGGAUUGGAGUCUGCAACUCGACUCCAUGAAGUUGGAAUCGCUAGUAAUCGUGGAUCAGCAUGCCACGGUGAAUACGUUCCCGGGCCUU
RNAcentral lists this ribosomal RNA (447 nucleotides) under uncultured Desulfobulbus sp. RNAcentral's name for it is "bacterial SSU rRNA". It matches the Rfam family "Bacterial small subunit ribosomal RNA", at positions 939 to 1382 of the family's 1533-position model. Lineage: Bacteria; Pseudomonadati; Thermodesulfobacteriota; Desulfobulbia; Desulfobulbales; Desulfobulbaceae. The record is from RNAcentral.